UCCGUGUCUAUUGUACCCUGUUGCUUCGGCGGGCCCGCCGCUUGUCGGCCGCCGGGGGGGCGCCUCUGCCCCCCGGGCCCGUGCCCGCCGGAGACCCCAACACGAACACUGUCUGAAAGCGUGCAGUCUGAGUUGAUUGAAUGCAAUCAGUUAAAACUUUCAACAAUGGAUCUCUUGGUUCCGGCAUCGAUGAAGAACGCAGCGAAAUGCGAUAACUAAUGUGAAUUGCAGAAUUCAGUGAAUCAUCGAGUCUUUGAACGCACAUUGCGCCCCCUGGUAUUCCGGGGGGCAUGCCUGUCCGAGCGUCAUUGCUGCCCUCAAGCCCGGCUUGUGUGUUGGGUCGCCGUCCCCCUCUCCGGGGGGACGGGCCCGAAAGGCAGCGGCGGCACCGCGUCCGAUCCUCGAGCGUAUGGGGCUUUGUCACAUGCUCUGUAGGAUUGGCCGGCGCCUGCCGACGUUUUCCAACCAUUCUUUCCAGGUUGACCUCGGAUCAGGUAGGGAUACCCGCUGAACUUAAGCAUAU
Molecule: ribosomal RNA, 523 nt
Filed under: Aspergillus niger
Lineage: Eukaryota; Fungi; Ascomycota; Eurotiomycetes; Eurotiales; Aspergillaceae
Description: eukaryotic LSU rRNA
Rfam family: 5.8S ribosomal RNA (bases 155-308)
Source: RNAcentral